Molecule: long non-coding RNA, 613 nt
Organism: Lycium ferocissimum
Lineage: Eukaryota; Viridiplantae; Streptophyta; Magnoliopsida; Solanales; Solanaceae
Exons: 2
Source: RefSeq, a predicted model, not a curated record
AGAAGCCACUGUUUCAUAAAACCUGUUUGCUACAUGAAUUAAUACAUGCCUUUGGGAUGUUCAUCGUUUGAUACCUAAGAUCUGAGUUUUUUUUCUUAGAAGAAAUGUUUCCCUAUCAAGUAUAGCAUGCUAUUUUUUUUUUUUUUUAUCUGUUUGGGUUUCAAAUUUUGAAAAGUUGCAUGAGUUGAUCUUUAUCCUUUUACUAUACAACAUGGUGACUGAUUUAAAUUUUCAAAUGACUAUUGCUUUAUUUCAGCUCUCGUGUAUUAUUGGUUAAGGUUAUAGCUUCUGAUCUUUUUUUAUUUCCCCUUCUUUUGCAUGUACUGUGGAGCCGAAGAGUCUCCAAGUGAGACUCGACGACAUCAUCAUUAAGUGAGGGUCCGCGUCUCCUCCUCAUUUCCCUUCAUCUAGUGUCCUUCGCGCCCUCAUAUGAAUCGAAACUGAAAAGAGGGGUGAGGAAGAUGGCGAAUGUUCCUCAAUAUUCCUUCAAUCGCUAAGCGCAUUAUGUUUGCUUUGAUGAUAUCUUUCGCUGGAAUUAUGUGACUAUUGCUUUUCUUCUAGUUUAUUUGUUUAAGGCUACUUUAGUUAAACAACAGGGUAGUUUUUGAUCUUA